This 495-nucleotide ribosomal RNA is filed under the name uncultured bacterium. RNAcentral describes it as "partial 16S ribosomal RNA". It matches the Rfam family "Bacterial small subunit ribosomal RNA", at positions 28 to 507 of the family's 1533-position model. The record is from RNAcentral.
GAUGAACGCUGGCGGCGUGCCUAAUACAUGCAAGUAGAACGCUGAAGGAGGAGCUUGCUCUUCUGGAUGAGUUGCGAACGGGUGAGUAACGCGUAGGUAACCUGCCUGGUAGCGGGGGAUAACUAUUGGAAACGAUAGCUAAUACCGCAUGACAACAGUUAUUGCAUGAUAACUGUUUAAAAGGGGCAACUGCUCCACUACCAGAUGGACCUGCGUUGUAUUAGCUAGUUGGUGAGGUAACGGCUCACCAAGGCGACGAUACAUAGCCGACCUGAGAGGGUGAUCGGCCACAAUGGGACUGAGACACGGCCCAGACUCCUACGGGAGGCAGCAGUAGGGAAUCUUCGGCAAUGGACGGAAGUCUGACCGAGCAACGCCGCGUGAGUGAAGAAGGUUUUCGGAUCGUAAAGCUCUGUUGUAAGAGAAGAACGAGUGUGAGAGUGGAAAGUUCACACUGUGACGGUAUCUUACCAGAAAGGGACGGCUAACUACGUG